AAGAAAAUAUUAGAGUUUCCUGAUAAUUUGAGUGAUAAAAAGGUUUUACAGCAAUUCUUAGGAAUUGUAAACUAUGCGCGAAACUAUAUAGAUAACUUAGCAAAGCUAGCAGGACCUUUAUAUGCUAAAUUAAGAAAAAAUGGUCAAAGAUACUUCAAUUCUGAAGAUAUAAAAUUAGUAAAGGCCAUCAAAGAAAAAGUCGAGAAUUUAAAACCCCUAGAAUUGCCUCUAGAAGACAAUUAUUUCAUAAUUGAGACAGAUGCAUCUAAGGUAGGAUGGGGUGCGAUACUAAAACAAAAGCCCAAUAAAUACUCUCCAAAGGCAGAUGAAAAAAUAUGCAGACAUGCUUCAGGAAGUUACAAAUUAAAGACGGCAAAUAAUAUUGAUAGAGAAAUUCUUGUAGUUGUAAAUGCAAUAAAUGCAUUUAGGUUAUAUCUAGGAUUUAAAGAAUUUACAGUACGAACAGACUAUGAAGCCAUAUGUCGAUAUUACAAUAAAAUUAAUAAUAUGAGGAAAGGAUUAUUCCACACCAAGGAGGAAUAUAUCUUCUUUGCAGAAGAAAAUAGGUUGAUAGUAUUUCAGCCAAAUACAUUCAAUUUCAAGCCAAAGGCUCAUAUCAAGCUUGAGAAGUUCAACGCUGCAUAUUGGAUAAUUUCUGGUUCCAAUAUACCACCAAAAGAGAGGAAAUGGGAUAUAUGUUAUCAAUUCUGA
RNAcentral lists this ribosomal RNA (711 nucleotides) under Triticum aestivum (bread wheat). RNAcentral's name for it is "partial small subunit ribosomal RNA". The record is from RNAcentral. Lineage: Eukaryota; Viridiplantae; Streptophyta; Magnoliopsida; Poales; Poaceae.